This 253-nucleotide ribosomal RNA is filed under the name uncultured bacterium. RNAcentral's name for it is "partial 16S ribosomal RNA". It matches the Rfam family "Bacterial small subunit ribosomal RNA", at positions 524 to 776 of the family's 1533-position model. The record is from RNAcentral.
UACGUAGGGGGCAAGCGUUGUCCGGAUUUAUUGGGCGUAAAGAGCGUGUAGGCGGUCCGGUAAGUCCGCUGUGAAAGUCGGGGGCUCAACCCUCGAAUGCCGGUGGAUACUGUCGGGCUAGAGUGCGGAAGAGGCGAGUGGAAUUCCUGGUGUAGCGGUGAAAUGCGCAGAUAUCAGGAGGAACACCUAUUGCGAAGGCAGCUCGCUGGGACGUAACUGACGCUGAGACGCGAAAGCGUGGGGAGCAAACCGG